Molecule: ribosomal RNA, 233 nt
Filed under: uncultured bacterium
Lineage: Bacteria
Description: partial 16S ribosomal RNA
Rfam family: Bacterial small subunit ribosomal RNA
Source: RNAcentral
GUUCACCUACGGGGGGCAGCAGUGGGGAAUAUUGCACAAUGGGGGAAACCCUGAUGCAGCGACGCCGCGUGAGCAAGGAAGUAUUUCGGUAUGUAAAGCUCUAUCAGCAGGGAAGAAAAUGACGGUACCUGACUAAGAAGCCCCGGCUAACUACGUGCCAGCAGCCGCGGUAAUACGUAGGGGGCAAGCGUUAUCCGGAUUUACUGGGUGUAAAGGGAGCGUAGACGGUCCUG